Molecule: ribosomal RNA, 469 nt
Filed under: uncultured bacterium
Lineage: Bacteria
Description: partial 16S ribosomal RNA
Rfam family: Bacterial small subunit ribosomal RNA
Source: RNAcentral
UGGGGAAUUUUGGACAAUGGGCGCAAGCCUGAUCCAGCAAUGCCGCGUGCAGGAUGAAGGCCUUCGGGUUGUAAACUGCUUUUGUACGGAACGAAAAGCCUCUCUCUAAUACAGGGGGGUGAUGACGGUACCGUAAGAAUAAGCACCGGCUAACUACGUGCCAGCAGCCGCGGUAAUACGUAGGGUGCAAGCGUUAAUCGGAAUUACUGGGCGUAAAGCGUGCGCAGGCGGUUUUGUAAGACAGUGGUGAAAUCCCCGGGCUCAACCUGGGAACUGCCAUUGUGACUGCAAGGCUGGAGUGCGGCAGAGGGGGAUGGAAUUCCGCGUGUAGCAGUGAAAUGCGUAGAUAUGCGGAGGAACACCGAUGGCGAAGGCAAUCCCCUGGGCCUGCACUGACGCUCAUGCACGAAAGCGUGGGGAGCAAACAGGAUUAGAUACCCUGGUAGUCCACGCCCUAAACGAUGUCAAC